UGGCGACCGGCGCACGGGUGAGUAACACGUAUCCAACCUGCCGAUAACUCCGGAAUAGCCUUUCGAAAGAAAGAUUAAUACCGGAUGGCAUACGAAUAUCGCAUGAUAUUUUUAUUAAAGAAUUUCGGUUAUCGAUGGGGAUGCGUUCCAUUAGUUUGUUGGCGGGGUAACGGCCCACCAAGACUACGAUGGAUAGGGGUUCUGAGAGGAAGGUCCCCCACAUUGGAACUGAGACACGGUCCAA
RNAcentral lists this ribosomal RNA (244 nucleotides) under uncultured bacterium. RNAcentral's name for it is "partial 16S ribosomal RNA". It matches the Rfam family "Bacterial small subunit ribosomal RNA", at positions 89 to 334 of the family's 1533-position model. The record is from RNAcentral.